GGCCCAGUAGUUUCAGAGGAGAAGAUCUUUGAAAAAGAUAACUAAGAUUUGCGAAAAAAUGGUUAGAAAUUGACUAUAAAGGACAAAAACUCCUAAAGGGGUCAACUGACCAUUUCGGUCAUGUUUGACUUAUUUGUAAAUCCUACUUUGCUGAACAUUAUUGCUGUUUACUGUUUAUCUCUAUCUAUAAUAAUAUUCAAG
Molecule: long non-coding RNA, 201 nt
Filed under: Mytilus galloprovincialis (Mediterranean mussel)
Lineage: Eukaryota; Metazoa; Mollusca; Bivalvia; Mytilida; Mytilidae
Source: RNAcentral